RNAcentral lists this ribosomal RNA (269 nucleotides) under Acidaminobacter hydrogenoformans DSM 2784. Its description in RNAcentral is "23S rRNA. Bacterial LSU". It matches the Rfam family "Bacterial large subunit ribosomal RNA", at positions 2652 to 2925 of the family's 2925-position model. Lineage: Bacteria; Bacillati; Bacillota; Clostridia; Peptostreptococcales; Acidaminobacteraceae. The record is from RNAcentral.
CAGGAAAUUUGAGAGGCGCUGUCCUUAGUACGAGAGGACCGGGAUGGACGCACCGCUGGUGUAUCGGUUGUUCCGCCAGGAGCACGGCCGAGUAGCUAUGUGCGGCAGGGAUAAGCGCUGAAGGCAUCUAAGCGCGAAGCCCACCUCAAGAUGAGAUUUCCCAUUCGAAAGAAGUAAGACCCCUGAUAGACUAACAGGUUGAUAGGUCUGAGGUGUAAGAACGGUAACGCUUUAAGCUGACAGAUACUAAUAGGUCGAGGGCUUGAUCA